GCAAGUCGAGCGGAGAGAGGUAGCUUGCUACCGAUCUUAGCGGCGGACGGGUGAGUAAUGCUUAGGAAUCUGCCUAUUAGUGGGGGACAACAUUUCGAAAGGAAUGCUAAUACCGCAUACGUCCUACGGGAGAAAGCAGGGGAUCUUCGGACCUUGCGCUAAUAGAUGAGCCUAAGUCGGAUUAGCUAGUUGGUGGGGUAAAGGCCUACCAAGGCGACGAUCUGUAGCGGGUCUGAGAGGAUGAUCCGCCACACUGGGACUGAGACACGGCCCAGACUCCUACGGGAGGCAGCAGUGGGGAAUAUUGGACAAUGGGCGCAAGCCUGAUCCAGCCAUGCCGCGUGUGUGAAGAAGGCCUUAUGGUUGUAAAGCACUUUAAGCGAGGAGGAGGCUACUCUAGUUAAUACCUAGAGAUAGUGGACGUUACUCGCAGAAUAAGCACCGGCUAACUCUGUGCCAGCAGCCGCGGUAAUACAGAGGGUGCAAGCGUUAAUCGGAUUUACUGGGCGUAAAGCGCGCGUAGGCGGCUAAUUAAGUCAAAUGUGAAAUCCCCGAGCUUAACUUGGGAAUUGCAUUCGAUACUGGUUAGCUAGAGUGUGGGAGAGGAUGGUAGAAUUCCAGGUGUAGCGGUGAAAUGCGUAGAGAUCUGGAGGAAUACCGAUGGCGAAGGCAGCCAUCUGGCCUAACACUGACGCUGAGGUGCGAAAGCAUGGGGAGCAAACAGGAUUAGAUACCCUGGUAGUCCAUGCCG
This 751-nucleotide ribosomal RNA is filed under the name Acinetobacter pittii. Its description in RNAcentral is "bacterial SSU rRNA". It matches the Rfam family "Bacterial small subunit ribosomal RNA", at positions 57 to 802 of the family's 1533-position model. The record is from RNAcentral. Lineage: Bacteria; Pseudomonadati; Pseudomonadota; Gammaproteobacteria; Moraxellales; Moraxellaceae.